CCUACGGGAGGCAGCAGUGGGGAAGAUGGCACAAUGGGGGAAACCCUGAUGCAGCGAAGGCGCGUGAGUGAAGAAGUAAGGCGGUAUGUAAAGCUCUAUCAGCAGGGAAGAAAAUGACGGUACCUGAGUAAGAAGCCCCGGCGCACUACGUGCCAGCAGACGCGGGCAGACGUAGGGGGCAAGCGUUAUCCGGAUUUACUGGGUGUAAAGGGAGCGUAGACGGCAGUGCAAGUCUGGAGUGAAAGGCGGGGGCUCAACCCCCGGACUGCUCUGGAAACUGUACGGCUGGAGUGCAGGAGAGGUAAGUGGAAUUCCUAGUGUAGCGGUGAAAUGCGUAGAUAUUAGGAGGAACACCAGUGGCGAAGGCGGCUUACUGGACUGUAACUGACGUUGAGGCUCGAAAGCGUGGGGAGCAAACAGGAUUAGAUACCCUUGUAGUC
RNAcentral lists this ribosomal RNA (440 nucleotides) under uncultured bacterium. Its description in RNAcentral is "partial 16S ribosomal RNA". It matches the Rfam family "Bacterial small subunit ribosomal RNA", at positions 338 to 795 of the family's 1533-position model. The record is from RNAcentral.